UCCUCCGCCUCGGCCUCCAUCUUCUCCUGCGCCAGCAAACCUUAGCAGGUAUGGCUCGUCGCCCCCUCUGCCUCUCUUUGCUCUGCUGCUGCUGCUGUGUGCUCUGCUGCUGCUGCUGCUGUGGGGACUGGGGAAGGAGAAGGACCGAAGGAAAGAGAGGCAGAGAGCGCGGGGUGGGCUCUAUAUGUGGUCUGCUGUUAGAUGUAUAUCAGUAUAGGCUGCUGCUCUGUGCUCUGGUGCUCUAUAUUAGUACUCCCUCCGUUCCAUAAUGUAGUGCCUAUAGAUUUUUGCAAAAGUCAAGCAUUACAAAUUUUGACCGUACUUAUAAUGAAAAGUAGGUACAUCUAGAAUACCAAAUGCACAUCAUUGGAUACAUUAUGAGUUAUAUUUUCAGAAUGUACAUGUUUGGUAUUCUAGAUGUAAACAAUUUUCUCUAUACACUUGGUCAAAGUUGGCAAAGUUUGACUUUUACAAAAAUUUAUAGGCACUACAUUGUGGAAUGGAGGGAGUAUAUGGCGACUUGGGGCGACUAUUCAAGCCGAGUCAGUGAGUCAAGCCAGCAAGCCACUAGCCGCAACCUCGUCGACUUGGCUUGACUCGGCGACUCAAAAACCUUGGUACCAAGUUCAACUAUCAGUCUACUCCGAGUUCAGGUAUGUUGUUGUGGACGACCCUAAGGCAAGUUGUAAUAGUCCUAUUUAGUACUACUUGUUAGCAUUUUUUUUAACUCUCUUCAUUUCUUUAUAACAGGGUAGUUCAAUUUUGCUAAUUCCUACGGUUCUCUAGUUAGAAAACCAGUGGAUCAUUUUUUUAGUUCCUGUGGUCUACAAAAUUAUUUGACCACCGUCGUGGGCACUUCUUCUUCGACAUCUCGUAAAGUUCAGCUUUCGUCAUCUCAUCCUUAUAUCUCUAUGUAUGUUCAAUCGUUGCUCACUUAAGAGUUCAAAAAAAAAAAGAUUUCGAACAGUGAUCUCUAAAUAGGACCAAUUUUAGCAUGUUUUCUGAAAUAUUUUAGCAUGUUUUAUGUUUUCAUCGACAAAGUUCACACACUACUGUCUCGGACGUUCAAACAUUUGUUUCCCUGAUGUUCAAAUAUUAUCGUCUAGGAAUACAUGCUCUAACUUCGAGAGAAAAAGUUCAUGUUGAUUACUCCCGUCAAGUGUAAAAGUUCACCAAUAUACAAUCUAUAAGUACAAUAUCCAGUACAUUAGUUUAGUAGUUGGUACUAACUACUCCAGUUUUUUAUUUGAUGUACCUGUGGUGUCUAGUUUCUUCUGUCAGUUCAAUUUCUAAAUUUCAUCCAGUUCAAUUCAUAUUGUAGCUCCAAUUUAGUCCACGUGGUCAAUUAUUGGCUGGUGUGUGUGCAGGGUAUCGUGACAUUGAGUAGGCGCGAAGUGUAUCACUCCAGCACACCAAGCUCUAGUGCAUGUCAACAUCUUCUCCACUGCAAUGGAAGCUCCUCCGUUCGAGUUGAGCACUGGUUAUCGUCCAAGUUGAGCACUAGGUGUCAUCCAAGUUCAAAGACGGUUGCAUGCAAGUACAUAAGUUUGUUUUAGUGAGAAAAAUGCGGCAUUUUGACAAUAUUCUGUUUGAUUCAUUUAUUCAAACUUAGGACUUGGCGAUAUUCGGUCUAUUUUUCUAUGAUGAAGGCACACAUGAAGUCAUGUGCGAAUGGUUAUCCCCCCUAGUGCUUCAAAGAUUUGUAUUUUGUUUCUUCAAAUGUGAUGUGCGCAUGUUUGAUGAGAUAAAACAAAAUAAAAUAGUGAAAAUGUCAUUAAAGACACUUGGAAGAACAAAUGUAGAAAAUAAAUAAGUUCUGG
This 1820-nucleotide long non-coding RNA is filed under the name Triticum aestivum (bread wheat). RNAcentral's name for it is "long non-coding RNA (TAES_LNC008595)". Lineage: Eukaryota; Viridiplantae; Streptophyta; Magnoliopsida; Poales; Poaceae. The record is from RNAcentral.